This is a non-coding RNA of Salmo salar (Atlantic salmon), 54 nucleotides long. The record is from Rfam. Lineage: Eukaryota; Metazoa; Chordata; Actinopteri; Salmoniformes; Salmonidae.
AUUAGUUAGGUAUUUAAGUUGCUCUGGAUAAGAGCGUCUGCUAAAUGACUUAAA